GUUUAACCCAUUUAGAUUGCUAGAUUUUAUUCUUCUUCUUCUCAUCUGGGUCCUUGGGUUCUCUUCAAUUUUAGACUGUUUUUUAGGUCUGCUUUUAAGGGUUCCUUUGCUAAAGUUUUGGGCUUUUGCUGAAAUUUUUAAUCUGGGAUCCAUAGAUUUCUAGUGAAUUUUAGGGUUUUGUUGUUGAUUUGAUUGUGUAGCGGUAUCAAGGUUUUGGGAGGCAUUGGUGCAAUUGGCUCUGCUAUCCGGGGAAGUGGUUACUCUCUUAAUCUUGAAUAUAUAUUGAGGGGA
Molecule: unclassified non-coding RNA, 291 nt
Filed under: Hevea brasiliensis (rubber tree)
Lineage: Eukaryota; Viridiplantae; Streptophyta; Magnoliopsida; Malpighiales; Euphorbiaceae
Source: RNAcentral